AGCGAACGCUAGCGGGUGGCUUAACACAUGCAAGUCGAGCGCUUACCUUCGGGUAAGAGCGGCGAACGGGUGAGUAACACGUAGGAUACCUGCCUUAUGGUGGGGGAUAACUAGGGGAAACCCUAGCUAAUACCGCAUAUGGCCCACGGGUCAAAGGCUUCGGCCGCCAAAAGAUGGUCCUGCGGCCCAUUAUUUAAUCCUAGUUGGCGAGGUAACGGCUCACCAAGGGUACGAUGGGUAGCUGGUCUGAGAGGACGAUCAGCCACACUGGGACUGAGACACGGCCCAGACUCCUACGGGAGGCAGCAGUGGGGAAUAUUGCGCAAUGGGCGAAAGCCUGACGCAGCCAACCCGCGUGAGUGAUGAAGGCCCUAGGGUUGUAAAGCUCUGUCGUGAGGGAAGAAGGCUUCGGCUUGACGGUACCUCACAAGAAAGCACCGGCUAACUCCG
This 450-nucleotide ribosomal RNA is filed under the name uncultured Myxococcales bacterium. RNAcentral's name for it is "bacterial SSU rRNA". It matches the Rfam family "Bacterial small subunit ribosomal RNA", at positions 29 to 505 of the family's 1533-position model. Lineage: Bacteria; Pseudomonadati; Myxococcota; Myxococcia; Myxococcales. The record is from RNAcentral.